Molecule: long non-coding RNA, 291 nt
Filed under: Oryza brachyantha (malo sina)
Lineage: Eukaryota; Viridiplantae; Streptophyta; Magnoliopsida; Poales; Poaceae
Description: long non-coding RNA (OBRA_LNC002337)
Source: RNAcentral
GGUACAUGGUGGUGUGUGCUUGCUUUACUUGCCUGCACGCUGAGCUACCUAGCCGGCCGGCUAUAAAUCUCUCUGUGCACUGUGCAUGAUCCCAUCGUCUUCUUCCCCAGCUAGCUACCUCUCUCAUCGCAGCUCGAUCGAUCGAUCGAUUGAUCUGUAGCUUCUUGGAUUUCUCCAUCAGAGUGGUUGUAAGUCAAGAUAGCCAAGAAACCCUACUGUGCUUUUUUUUCUGUGAAGAAGCGAGAGGAGGGAGAUGAUGAAGAGGAUGGUGGUACUGAGGCGGUGCCAGCC